RNAcentral lists this ribosomal RNA (547 nucleotides) under Clavaspis coursetiae. RNAcentral's name for it is "LSU rRNA". Lineage: Eukaryota; Metazoa; Arthropoda; Insecta; Hemiptera; Diaspididae. The record is from RNAcentral.
AUCUGGGCGGCGGAAUUCAGGAUGGCUGGCGUGCUCUCGCGGCGCGUCGGUCGUUUGAUAUUUCCGUCGCCAACUAACGCAGACGUCGCGACCUGUUUGCGGUCGGUCCCUGCUCGGAGGAGCCGUGUUCGAGUUCGUUGUGUGCGCGCUUCUGGCGCGUCACACGGCGAAGACGCGGAUCUCUGGCUGGCCGUCGGACAGUAUGCUUAACGGUGUCCGAUGUCGUCGUCUCGUACGCGCGGCUUCGGUACCGGUCAGCGACGAAUUCUUCGGGCCUCUUUCCGACCCGUCUUGAAACACGGACCAAGGAGUCUAACAUGCGCGCGAGUCGCGGGGUAUCGAGCGUACUUCGGUGCGUUCGUUAUGUUGCGAAACCCGUACAUGUCGAAGGCGUAAUGAAAGUGAAUGGGGAAGAUGGUGUUCCGAGUUCACGUUCCGCGAUCAUCGGUAUCGCGGCCGGACACCCGCAUUCCCAGGGCGUCUCAACGGCCCGUCGCUGAUGCGGAUAGUCGUCUUUCGGGGCGGCUAUCGGUCGGCGACGAACCGA